AGUGAACGCUGGCGGUAGGCCUAACACAUGCAAGUCGAACGGCAGCACAGUAAGAGCUUGCUCUUACGGGUGGCGAGUGGCGGACGGGUGAGGAAUACAUCGGAAUCUACUUUUUCGUGGGGGAUAACGUAGGGAAACUUACGCUAAUACCGCAUACGACCUACGGGUGAAAGCAGGGGAUCUUCGGACCUUGCGCGAUUGAAUGAGCCGAGGUCGGAUUAGCUAGUUGGCGGGGUAAAGGCCCACCAAGGCGACGAUUCGUAGCUGGUCUGAGAGGAUGAUCAGCCACACUGGAACUGAGACACGGUCCAGACUCCUACGGGAGGCAGCAGUGGGGAAUAUUGGACAAUGGGCGCAAGCCUGAUCCAGCCAUACCGCGUGGGUGAAGAAGGCCUUCGGGUUGUAAAGCCCUUUUGUUGGGAAAGAAAAGCAGCAGGUUAAUACCCCGCUGUUCUGACGGUACCCAAAGAAUAAGCACCGGCUAACUUCGUG
This 492-nucleotide ribosomal RNA is filed under the name uncultured bacterium. Its description in RNAcentral is "partial 16S ribosomal RNA". It matches the Rfam family "Bacterial small subunit ribosomal RNA", at positions 29 to 507 of the family's 1533-position model. The record is from RNAcentral.